GGAAAGGACCAGUGUUGUGUCUUAGAUGGGAUGAUGCAGGUGGAUGAGCAAGGGGCUGUAUUUCAGGAUGGAGCAUGUCUCUGGUACCCAUUUGGUGCAAUAACCAAAGUGUCUCAGCUGUGCUGCCUGGGAUAGAUCAUGCUUCUAGGAGGAAGGGUUGCUGGAUACAUCUCCAAACAUGUCUGGACCACCCGGGGAAUGGGGAAGAUACGGUUGAGUUUCUGUGUCACGAACUGGAUUGAUGAGGACACUGAUGCUACCCAUAUCCUUCUCCCAAAUCCUCUCUGAACAAGGUUUUAAAAGGCAAAGCAAAUGAUUGCAUUUCUUUCUGGGUGAGGGUGAUGGAGGACAGGGUUGAUUUCUAACUUGCACACUGGGCAAGAGCUCAGGGCAACAUUCUGCUUAGGAACCAAGACAAGAAACUGUGGUGAAAGGGCCUUCAGAUAGGUCUAUAGCUGGUUUCUUCUUGUGCUUCCUUUAUGGUACCUUCACAUUUCUCUGAUCUCUCUGAUUUGCAGCUCUUCUUCUGAAAGCCCCUUCUGAAUGGUGAUCUGGGUGAAUUGGAGUUUCUUGUUCAUCAUGCAACAGUGGGCACAUCUCAUUAUCUUGUUUGUGCCAGACAUCCAAAUAGAUCUGUGGGGCAGCUCACAGUUACUCAUUGUGUUUGUGGCCACCAGAACUUGGCCAAAUUCCUCUGGUUGCUCUGGCAGCUGUUGUUAUACCAAAAGAUUGGCUAAAUGCAACACAGGAACAAAGACACAGACAUGAGAUCCUUUUAGCAAUGCACAGUUAGUUGGUGAGGGGUUUUUUUUUAUCUUCACUGUACAUUCCUUUCAUGUUCUUCAGCAUCUAAGCCCCAGUUGCUCUACGGUGACUUACCUUUCCAUGUGACUUCUCUUUUCUUUGAAGAGUUCCUAUCACACACGUUUUCCAGAAAUGUGGAUGCCAUAUUGCUCCUUUUUAGCAUAACCUUUCACAACAUGGAGAGAUACUGCAGUCAAAGGCCUGAGUGGGAAAUUCUUCGUCACUGAUACUGUGCCCUUUUUUAUUCUCC
RNAcentral lists this long non-coding RNA (1054 nucleotides) under Strigops habroptila (Kakapo). RNAcentral's name for it is "lncRNA (ENSSHBG00005001219.1)". The record is from RNAcentral. Lineage: Eukaryota; Metazoa; Chordata; Aves; Psittaciformes; Psittacidae.